AUUGAACGCUGGCGGCGUGCUUAACACAUGCAAGUCGAUCGGUAACAGGUGUAGCAAUACAUGCUGACGAGAGGCGGACGGGUGAGUAAUGCUUGGGAAUCUGCCUAUUAGGUGGGGGACAACCCGGGGAAACUCGGGCUAAUACCGCAUACGCUCUACGGAGGAAAGCCGGGGACCGCAAGGCCUGGCGCUAAUAGAUGAGCCCAAGUCGGAUUAGCUAGUUGGUAGGGUAACGCCUACCAAGGCGACAAUCCGUAGCUGGUCUGAGAGGACGACCAGCCACACCGGAACUGAGACACGGUCCGGACUCCUACGGGAGGCAGCAGUGGGGAAUAUUGGACAAUGGGGGCAACCCUGAUCCAGCGACGCCGCGUGGGUGAAGAAGGCCUGCGGGUUGUAAAGCCCUUUCGGUGGGGAAGAAAGUCUCGACCUAAUACGUCGGGACCUUGACGUAACCCACUAAAGAAGCACCGGCUAACUCUGUGCCAGCAG
This 492-nucleotide ribosomal RNA is filed under the name uncultured bacterium. RNAcentral's name for it is "bacterial SSU rRNA". It matches the Rfam family "Bacterial small subunit ribosomal RNA", at positions 29 to 514 of the family's 1533-position model. The record is from RNAcentral.